GCAGACACAUUCCAGCCAAUCAGCAGCAGACCCUCCCUCCCAGACCCUCCCACCUCCUGGACAGCAUCCAUUUUACAUUCAUUGUGAAGCUGCAUUCUUAGUGAGCUGUCCAGGAGGUGGGAGGGUCUGGGAGGGAGGGUCUGCUGCUGAUUGGCUGGAAUGGGUCUG
Molecule: microRNA precursor, 168 nt
Filed under: Pelobates cultripes (western spadefoot toad)
Lineage: Eukaryota; Metazoa; Chordata; Amphibia; Anura; Pelobatidae
Source: RNAcentral